UACGUAGGGUGCAAGCGUUGUCCGGAAUUAUUGGGCGUAAAGAGCUCGUAGGCGGUCUGUCGCGUCUGCUGUGAAAACUCAGGGCUUAACCCUGAGCUUGCAGUGGGUACGGGCAGACUAGAGUGCGGUAGGGGAGAUCGGAAUUCCUGGUGUAGCGGUGAAAUGCGCAGAUAUCAGGAGGAACACCGGUGGCGAAGGCGGAUCUCUGGGCCUGUCCUGACGCUGAGGCGCGAAAGCUAGGGGAGCGAACAGG
This 253-nucleotide ribosomal RNA is filed under the name uncultured bacterium. RNAcentral's name for it is "partial 16S ribosomal RNA". It matches the Rfam family "Bacterial small subunit ribosomal RNA", at positions 524 to 776 of the family's 1533-position model. The record is from RNAcentral.